CCCUUAGAGUUUGAUCCUGGCUCAGGACGAACGCUGGCGGCGCGCUUAACACAUGCAAGUCGAACGGAGCUUACUUCCUUCGGGAGGUAAGCUUAGUGGCGAACGGGUGCGUAACACGUGAGUGACCUGCCCUUGUGCGGGGGAUAACCGCGGGAAACCGCGGCUAAUACCGCAUGACAUCUGUUGCCCGCAUGGGUGAGAGAUCAAAGGUGCUUUAUUGCACUGCGCAGGGAGGGGCUCGCGGCGUAUCAGCUAGACGGUGGGGUAACGGCCUACCGUGGCAAUGACGCGUAGGGGGUCUGAGAGGAUGGCCCCCCACAUUGGGACUGAGAUACGGCCCAGACUCCUACGGGAGGCAGCAGUGGGGAAUCUUGCGCAAUGGGAGCAAUCCUGACGCAGCGACGCCGCGUGCGGGAGGACGCCUUUCGGGGUGUAAACCGCUGUCACCGGGGACGAACGGGGCUGGGAGGCAAUGCCCAGCUUUUGACGGUACCCGGAGAGGAAGCACCGGCUAACUCCGUGCCAGCAGCCGCGGUAAUACGGAGGGUGCGAGCGUUGUUCGGAAUUAUUGGGCGUAAAGCGCACGUAGGCGGCUCUUUAAGUCUGUCUGUGAAAUGCCGGGGCUCAACCCCGUGCAGUGCAGGGGAUACUGGAGGGCUUGAGAGAUGCAGAGGCCAGCGGAAUUCCGGGUGUAGCGGUGGAAUGCGUAGAGAUCCGGAAGAACACGGGCGGCGAAAGCGGCUGGCUGGGCAUCAUCCGACGCUGAGUGCGAAAGCGUGGGGAGCAAACAGAUAGAUACCCUGGUAGUCACGCCGUA
RNAcentral lists this ribosomal RNA (817 nucleotides) under uncultured bacterium. RNAcentral's name for it is "bacterial SSU rRNA". It matches the Rfam family "Bacterial small subunit ribosomal RNA", at positions 1 to 804 of the family's 1533-position model. The record is from RNAcentral.